This 253-nucleotide ribosomal RNA is filed under the name uncultured bacterium. Its description in RNAcentral is "partial 16S ribosomal RNA". It matches the Rfam family "Bacterial small subunit ribosomal RNA", at positions 524 to 776 of the family's 1533-position model. The record is from RNAcentral.
UACAGAGGGGGCAAGCGUUGUUCGGAAUUACUGGGCGUAAAGGGUUUGUAGGUGGCCAACUAAGUCAGACGUGAAAUCCCUCAGCUUAACUGGGGAACUGCGUCUGAGACUGGAUGGCUCGAGUGCAGGAGAGGAACGCGGAAUUCCAGGUGUAGCGGUGAAAUGCGUAGAUAUCUGGAGGAACACCGGUGGCGAAGGCGGCAUCCUGGACCAUAACUGACACUGAUAAGCGAAAGCCAGGGGAGCAAACGGG